GGAAAAAUACUGGGAGUAUUCACAUUUAAAUAUGGUUAGGUUGAAUCUAUUACAUCAUUACUCUCUGGUCCUCUCAAAGUUAGAGAUGCCCAGCUCAUACUGGGCGGCAACAGUGACAGACAGCAAUGUCAAGUUAGCAUGUAUCCAGGAUAAACCAUUACAAACUUAUGCACAAGUAUUUUUCAAAACAAAUGUUUUAUCUCAAAAAAUUUCAUAGUAUGCUAAAAGCUAAAAUGAGCAUGGAAGUGAAAGUCAGUACAAACAACCAGAACAUUAGCAGCACACAGUAUCAACAAACAAUUUUAUGGUCCAGUCCACAUAAUUACUUCAAGAGAAUUUGAAGGUAGAGAUACAUCAUGAACAAUAUGCAUGAGAAAAACUGAAAAUUUAACCUUACAUUAUAAGCGCACCCUUGAAGUUUCUGGACUAGAAAAUGGAGAAGACUCCCAACAAUUAUCUUCUUUCUCAAAGGAAUCUUCUUCUUGGAAUGCAAAUUUCUGCUUAAGUGCAUGGGAUAUUAGAGACACUGGAUCCCAAGGAAGCUACAGAAGAUGGAACACCCAGGACAUGGGUGAUGCAACACUUGACAAACAGAAUGCCUAUGAUGACAAAGGAAAUCCUUAGGAUAACAAUGCAACAAGUAAGAUUAGGGAAGGGCAGAGGGCUCCAAGAGGGUAUUUCCAGGGGUUUGGGGGGAAUUCAAAGAGGUAAUAGUUAACUGCAAUAAAAAAUAAAAUUAGUUAACAAAUAAAAUGUAAUUGUAUAUGAAAUAGCUUUCCUGUGAAUGUUUAUUAUAAUAAGGAUAUAAAUUCUGAACAUGGAUUUAAGACUGUGACUUAACCAUAAUGGAAAGAUGUGAUAAGAAGUGUAUGUGUGCAUGUGUGUUAGGAGGUAGACUGUCUAAGAGAAUGUAUUUCAGAUUUUUAACAAUUCCAGUAAAUAUAACUAAAAUACCAAAAAAUAGCAAAAGUAUAAUGUUGUCUCAAAAGUAUGAAGGUAAGACACUAGAAGAGUCACAAAAA
Molecule: long non-coding RNA, 1022 nt
Filed under: Capra hircus (goat)
Lineage: Eukaryota; Metazoa; Chordata; Mammalia; Artiodactyla; Bovidae
Description: lncRNA (ENSCHIG00010021194.1)
Source: RNAcentral